Triticum aestivum (bread wheat) is the source of this 79-nucleotide non-coding RNA. Lineage: Eukaryota; Viridiplantae; Streptophyta; Magnoliopsida; Poales; Poaceae. The record is from Rfam.
AGCUCAGUGAUUAGAGCCAAUUACAUUGGCAAUAUACGCUAUACUGAUCAUAUUUUGAUGAAAAGUUUAUAUGAGAGCU